UCCUUCUGCCUCAGCCUUCCAAGUAGCUGGAAUUACAGGAUAAGAAACGUGUUAAAAGAUGAAGUAUUUGCUGGUAGAAGCCAGAGGAAACAGUUUCCAUCAAUCUCUUCAAGGACUGUGAGAGAAAAACCUGUUCGGCAUGAUUCCAAAGAAACUAGCCACUGGAGCCAAGACUGAUGUGUAGCAAUUUUAUUUUAUGUUGUUCUUGGUGAGAAUGGAGGUCAAGAAGAAACCAAUAUUUAAGUAACUAUAUAUGUGAAGAAUAAAAUGGAUAUAAAAAGGUA
Molecule: long non-coding RNA, 284 nt
Organism: Carlito syrichta (Philippine tarsier)
Lineage: Eukaryota; Metazoa; Chordata; Mammalia; Primates; Tarsiidae
Exons: 2
Source: RefSeq, a predicted model, not a curated record